GAUGAACGCUGGCGGCGUGCCUAAUACAUGCAAGUCGAGCGAACGGACGAGAAGCUUGCUUCCCUGAUGUUAGCGGCGGACGGGUGAGUAACACGUGGAUAACCUACCUAUAAGACUGGGAUAACUUCGGGAAACCGGAGCUAAUACCGGAUAAUAUUUUGAACCGCAUGGUUCAAAAGUGAAAGACGGUCUUGCUGUCACUUAUAGCUGGAUCCGCGCUGCAUUAGCUAGUUGGUAAGGUCACGGCUUACCAAGGCAACGAUGCAUAGCCGACCUGAGAGGGUGAUCGGCCACACUGGAACUGAGACACGGUCCAGACUCCUACGGGAGGCAGCAGUAGGGAAUCUUCCGCAAUGGGCGAAAGCCUGACGGAGCAACGCCGCGUGAGUGAUGAAGGCCUUCGGAUCGUAAAACUCUGUUAUUAGGGAAGAACAUAUGUGUAAGUAACUGUGGACAUCUUGACGGUACCUAAUCAGAAAGCCACGGCUAACUACGUG
RNAcentral lists this ribosomal RNA (497 nucleotides) under uncultured bacterium. RNAcentral describes it as "partial 16S ribosomal RNA". It matches the Rfam family "Bacterial small subunit ribosomal RNA", at positions 28 to 507 of the family's 1533-position model. The record is from RNAcentral.